Passer domesticus (house sparrow) is the source of this 3014-nucleotide long non-coding RNA. RefSeq lists it as uncharacterized. The transcript has 5 exons. Lineage: Eukaryota; Metazoa; Chordata; Aves; Passeriformes; Passeridae. The record is from RefSeq and is a predicted model, not a curated record.
UAAAUGGAAGGAACUGCUGGUUUUCCCUUUUCCUUUAGGUCAGGCAGGAACAAAGUCAGGAAGAUUCAGCCUAAAUCUUCCACUGUGAUCUGAUCAGACUCUUAUUCAUUUCCUGGAUUUCUUGAAGGAGUUCACUCUGGACAGAGAUUGUCCCCCUGACUCUUGAGCCGGAAUCACAAGUACAAAUACCUGAUGUCACAAGGUCAUUGAAUCAACUACUGUCUAGAACUCUUAAUGCCAAGCAUCAGAUGCUUAUGUGGUACUUGUAAAACAGGCCAGUUCUCAGGCAAGGAAAAGGUACUCAGCCUUCUCUGACAGAUUUCAAAUACAGCAAACAGCUGCGUCGGGGUCCUCAGCAUGAACUGAGCCGAGUGUUUUCACUUCUGCGUGGUUUUCCCUGACUUUGAAUUCGUAGGGGAGUUUGGUGAAGACAGGAGGCUCGUCCACGUCGGUGACCUGGAUGGUGACGGUCGCGAUGCUCCGCGGGUUGCCGGGUUUGAAAUGCCGAAGGUUCACGGUGGGGUCUGUGGCCUCGAUGCUAAAUCUGUAUUCUGACACUGUUUCAAAGUCCAGGGGCUAAAAACAAAAAGACAGUUAGAUAUCCUUUCACUGGUGAUGUCUAAGCAAACUUUGAUUUGCUCUCUGUGCAGAUUUAAGAUCUGUGCUCUACUUCAUGUUUGGCAAUGUUACCAAAUUUCAUCUUGGCUGGACCCAUGGGAGAGCAUUUCCCAGCUGAACUUCUCUACCGUAGCAUGGCUUAAGGUACCUCUGGUGUGGAACAGAUUCAUUCAGUAGUUUAAGGCAAAAUAAUUUUCUUUUGGGUUAAAUACUUGUCUUUUUAUAAUGUGCAACUACUAAAACUUGGUGAGCUCUUGUCCCCCAAAGUCUGGGGAAGAGAUUCUCCUCUUGGCUGUGCUUUGUGUUCUGAAGGCACUCAAGGCAGAUCUGCACUGGCUGACAGCUGGGGCAUUCAGUGAUAAAUGACAUCCUCUUCCUUGUUUUUCCCCUUGCCUGAGACUACAAAAGGAAUCACACAAUGGGAGGAAGGCCAGGAGCUUGGGCAGUAAGAAAUACUCCUUUCAAAGUUUCCUUUGUUCUACCACCUGAGAUUCUAAAAACACUGAGAUACACAGCAGUUAUGGUGACUCUUGUUUUCCCCUUUGGGUAGACAUUGCAAGGGGAAAUGAUGGGACUUCUCCAGCAGCUGACAUUUUAUCUCACAUGGCUUUGUAUUUAAAAUUAUGACAUAUGCAUGGCCAAAUUUACAUUGAAAACAGGGUGAACUUUGCCCACUGUGUGCUGGAGGAAGAGCUGGUUCCAAAUCCCUCAGGGAGGGUGUGUGGGGUCUGUGACUGCUCCUCCUCUGGGCAGGUGCUGCAUUCCCCAGUCCUGGGAGGUUGGAGAAGAGCUGCACCCUGUGAAGGACAGCUGCUCAUACCCAGUGUGUCCACAGCCAAGGAUUUUACCGCCAGUCUUGAAAUCCUUGGUACUGUUUUUCCUGAAAGUUUUCUCUUCUUAAUGACAUUUCUAGUCUUAGCAGUUACAGAGAGGCAUUUGGAAGGGAAAAACACAUUCCUGUCAAUCUGAGGAUUACAGGAGCUGAUUUAUAGUCUUCUCUCCUCUUUUUUUUUAACAGCAAGUCAAUGAAAUCGAUGAAGUCUUGGUUUGGCAAUGCUCUGCAGCAGUCCCUUGGUACAAAUAAUGUGCAUUUGAGAAUUUUAAAAACCAAAGGACAUACCCUAAUAAAGGCUUUGGAGAGUCUUAAAGACAUAAGAAAUUAGUGGGGAAGCUCUUAAAAAAAAGCUCUUUCCUUACCCUGAGGAAAGUAAGGGAGCUGUGGCUCGGAUUGGAGCAAAUGCCAAACUGCAAAGAUACUUUUACAAAGGAGGUCAGGUGGACUUGUUCACCUUUUCUGCUUUGGUUUCAGGUGGGCUUCAGAAGGGAAGGAUUCUUUGACUUGGCCAGUUGGUUGAACUCUUAAAUCACUGCCUCUUUGAAGCAUCCAACCACUUGAAGUUGGAGAGGAACCAAAGCACCUAACCUGAAUAUCUGACACAGCCCCCACUGCCCUCUGCAGUAAUUCUGGAGUUUUUCAGGUGUGCAUUGCCCAGGAAAAGUGGCUCUGGCUGAAACACAGAAGAGCUUCUUAAGAUGCAAAGUUAUUUUGGCCAUUUUUAAGGAAAGCUGAAUUGUGCAGGACCAUGAGCUGAACUCGUGCUUGUGCCAGCCCUGGCUCCAGGGGGGUUCAGGGGCUGUGUGGCACUCACGGUGUUUGAACACUGGGAAGUUGUCGUUGAUGUCGGACAAAGCGAUGAUCACCGUGGCUGUGCUGGAAUCCCCAGAGAAACCCGGAGCAUCUUUGGCUUGAACAACAAUCUCAUACGUUGACUUGGUCUCUCUGUCUAAAUUAGGCUCUUUUGUGUAAAUCACACCUGUAAAAAAUAAUAUUUGAUACAAUAAGAUUUUGCAGCAUGUCCAACAUCUCUUCAAUUUUGAUGGCAAAUUUUAAUAUUUUUAUUUAAUCUCCACACAUUCAGCUUUAAGUACCAAUUUUACAGUGGUGUUUUUCAAGAAAUGUUAGAAAUUCUUCUGCAUGAUGGAAUAUUUAGGAAAGCUUGUGCAGAAUAUUCUUUUUAAUGGAUCUUUCACCUCUUUCCCUGUGUUCUUUGCUCUAGUAAACCAGUGUGUUUACAAGAGAUACUGACAUUGGUUUUAAAACUGGGCAAAAUUUAAGCUAGGAAGUUUAGGAAAGCAAAUUAUUAUUGGUUACUGAAUGCUGCUUCAGAAUUUGUGUAUUCCCUUUUCCUGUUUGGUCACUGGAACAGUGUCUAUGCUAAAAUGAAAACAUGAACUCAGCUCCUGGUUAAUGUUUCCAUAAGUGGGAAAAAGAAUGACCUUUUAUUUUCUCAUUGUGUUCAUGGCAGCUGAAAUCCUGGUUUUAUUAGUUCAUUUCCAGAUGCAGACAGUAGCAUUGUAGAGAGUGAAUUAAAAACUUUUCUAAAUCGUGUUUAAAA